UCGAUUCGAGCGCAGCGAGAAAGCGUUGCCGCAGGCAACGACCCGAAGGGCGAAGCGCGCAGCGCUGAGUCAUCCUUCCCCCACCACCA
Molecule: small RNA, 89 nt
Filed under: Salmonella enterica subsp. enterica serovar Muenchen
Lineage: Bacteria; Pseudomonadati; Pseudomonadota; Gammaproteobacteria; Enterobacterales; Enterobacteriaceae
Also listed under: 31 other names
Description: partial RtT sRNA
Rfam family: RtT RNA
About the family: This family represents a bacterial cis-regulatory element known as RtT RNA. The exact function of RtT is unknown although it is thought that it may be involved in changing the cellular response in relation to amino acid starvation.
Source: RNAcentral